GACGAAGAACGCAGCGAAAUGCGAUAAGUAAUGUGAAUUGCAGAAUUCAGUGAAUCAUCGAGUCUUUGAACGCACAUUGCGCCCCCUGGUAUUCCGGGGGGCAUGCCUGUCCGAGCGUCAUUGCCGCCCUCAAGCACGGCUUGUGUGUUGGGCCCCCGCCCCCCGGCUUCGGGGGGCGGGCCCGAAAGGCAGCGGCGGCACCGCGUCCGGUCCUCGAGCGUAUGGGGCUUCGUCACCCGCUCUGUAGGCCCGGCCGGCGCCCGCCGGCGACCCCAAUCAAUCUUUCCAGGUUGACCUCGGAUCAGGUAGGGAUACCCGCUGAACUUAAGCAUAUCAAUAAGCGGAGGA
RNAcentral lists this unclassified non-coding RNA (348 nucleotides) under soil metagenome. RNAcentral describes it as "partial contains 5.8S ribosomal RNA, internal transcribed spacer 2, and large subunit ribosomal RNA". The stretch from base 1 to 120 matches the Rfam family "5.8S ribosomal RNA", at positions 35 to 154 of the family's 154-position model. The record is from RNAcentral.